GCCAGGUAUGGUAGCACGUGCCUGUAGUCCUAGUUACUCAGGAGGCUGAGGCAGGAGGAUUGCUUGAGCCCAGGAAUUUGAGGUUACAGUGAACUAUGAUCAUGCCACUGCACUCUAGCCUGGGCAACAGAGCAAGACUCUGCCUCUA
This 148-nucleotide non-coding RNA is filed under the name Nomascus leucogenys (northern white-cheeked gibbon). Lineage: Eukaryota; Metazoa; Chordata; Mammalia; Primates; Hylobatidae. The record is from Rfam by way of RNAcentral.